RNAcentral lists this unclassified non-coding RNA (247 nucleotides) under plant metagenome. RNAcentral's name for it is "partial contains small subunit ribosomal RNA, internal transcribed spacer 1, and 5.8S ribosomal RNA". The stretch from base 1 to 54 matches the Rfam family "Eukaryotic small subunit ribosomal RNA", at positions 1778 to 1831 of the family's 1831-position model. The record is from RNAcentral.
GGAAGUAAAGGUCGUAACAAGGUCUCCGUUGGUGAACCAGUGGAGGGAUCAUUACAGGACUCGCAAGACUCCUACAACCCUGUGAACUUAACUAUAAGCACGUUGCUUCGGCGGGUGUCUCGGAGGGGGUUCUCCCUCCCCGAGACGCUAAACCCGCCGGCAGCCUACUAUACUCUGUCUCUUUGCGUUGGCAUCUCGAGUACAAUCAAACAAGUUAAAACUUUCAACAACGGAUCUUUUGGUUCUG